AGUCUGAUGCUGCGACGCCGCGUGAGUGAAGACGGCCUUCGGGUUGUAAAGUUCUUUCAACAGGGAAAAAAGUGUAUGUACGUAACUGAUCAUAUCUGGACGUUACCUGCAAAAGCAGCCCCGGCUAACUCCGUGCCAGCAGCCGCGGCAAUACGGACGGGGGUAGCGUGGUUCUGAGUGGCUGGGCGUGAAGGGCACGUAAGUGGUGAGUCAAAUCAUCGGUCAAAAGCCGGAACUUAACUUCUGUCCGGCCGGUGAAACUGGUGUGCUUUAGUAUCUGAGAGGAAAAUGGAAUAUCUGGUGUAGCGGUGGAAUGCGCAAAUAUCAGAUGGAACACCAUUAACGAAGGCGGCACUCUGGCUGAUAACUGACACUGAGGUGCGAAAGCGUGGGUAGCAAACAGGAUUAGAUACCCUGGUAGUCCACGCUGUAAACGAUGGAUACUAGAUGUCGGCGAGCAAUUGUCGGUGUCGAAGCUGACGCGUUAAGUAUCCCGCCUGGGGAGUACGUACGCAAGUA
RNAcentral lists this ribosomal RNA (519 nucleotides) under uncultured bacterium. RNAcentral describes it as "bacterial SSU rRNA". It matches the Rfam family "Bacterial small subunit ribosomal RNA", at positions 380 to 894 of the family's 1533-position model. The record is from RNAcentral.